AAGCGCUUGCAACCAGACUUAGUUGCGGCCGAUCAUCUAGGGUUCUCCCUGGUGCACUCGGUCGUAUCUAGGCCAGCAUCGGUUCGGGUGGUGGGAUAAAGGCCUUGGGAAUGUAGCUUCUUUCGGGGAGUGUUAUAGCCCUCGGUGCAAUGCCGCCUACCUGGACCGAGGACCGCGCUUCGGCUAGGAUGCUGGCGUAAUGGUUGUAAGCGA
This 213-nucleotide ribosomal RNA is filed under the name Lachnum cf. pygmaeum. Its description in RNAcentral is "partial large subunit ribosomal RNA". Lineage: Eukaryota; Fungi; Ascomycota; Leotiomycetes; Helotiales; Lachnaceae. The record is from RNAcentral.